RNAcentral lists this long non-coding RNA (1256 nucleotides) under Homo sapiens (human). Its description in RNAcentral is "PREDICTED lncRNA (TCONS_00067691)". The record is from RNAcentral. Lineage: Eukaryota; Metazoa; Chordata; Mammalia; Primates; Hominidae.
ACUGUGAAGUCACAAGAGGCCCUGAGCUCUGUGGGCCCCAGGUGCCCCGGGAAAACUUGGGGGAGAAUGGGCAUCCCACCCCAGCACUUUCUAGGAAGAAGGGCAGCAUUUUGAAGGGCUGGAAGUAGAGGAAGGAGGUUGCGGGUAGAAGACUCCAUACUUUCUGUGACGCCUAUUCCUUAGGUAGGAACUUAGGAACCUCAGGAAUCAAGGCUAUCUGUAAUCACAGGGCUAUUUGAAAAAGAGAAGAAAAGGUGUCUUGAAAUUCAACCAACAUGUUUCAAUUAUUUGCUCCUAAGAACAACAGAAGUUUCAACAUUCUGCCAACAGAGUAACUCCUGGAAGAUUGGCACAGAAGAAGGCACAAGGAGAGCCUUUAUAUAACCAAAGAUAUUUUUGGACCAUGAAUUCAGAAAUUCUCGGAGCCACCCAUCAGUGCCUGAGCUUCAGUGAGUCCAUAUCCCAUGUCACCCACGGCAAAGGAGACUCUAAGACUUCUGAAGACUAAAGUUACAGAACCCAAAUUUGGCAACUGUCUGCAUCUGAACAACAGAAGUUUCAACAUUCUGCCAACAGAGUAACUCCUGGACGAUUGGCACAGAAGAAGGCACAAGGCAAAUACCCAUCUCUGUACACCCUGUGCUACUGUGUCAUGUGCUGCUCCAGGCAACUCCAAUGGAUUGGCCACCCUGGCCAAUGUGUUCUAGUAUGUUACGUUUAUGUUCCCCUGCUUUCUACAAUCCUGUUCAAAGAGUUGCUGACUUAACCACAGAGAGGAUUCCAGAACCUGAGACACAGAAUAAACUUGAGCAAUCAUAGUCCAUCCACUUCAUUGUCUCAUCAAAAACCAAAGGUCCAGUGAAGCUCUGGAACUCAACGCUGUAAAGGAGCGAAGGAGCUUCUAUACAGAGCCUGGAUGCCUGUCUCCUUAUCCUACUUCAGUGGACUUGACUGCAAUCCGGAUUAUGCUGUUUUCUAAGCAUUUAAAAUAAAAUAAAAAGUAUAAUAGUGUGAUAAGUUCUUUCACAAAGCAAGCAAUCACAUUUAUGUUUCUACUUACAUUUGGGUUUUCCAAAUAUGUGUGUGUGUGUGUGUGUGUGUGUGUGUGUGUGUAUGUAGACUUUAAACAUGGUGCAUCCAUCAUGUUGCACUAAAUCAAAACCACCAAAUAAUGAUGUAGAACUAAUAAAUCAAAACCAUCAAAUAAUGACAUAGAAAUCCAAUUCUCCCACCUUACACCCAUUAAGAUGGCUACU